GUGGGGAUUUAUAAUCCACUUUAGGAGAUGGCGAAUACAUUGGUGGAGGUGGAGGAGAACUGUAUACGUAAGGAGGUGGUGGAGACUUGUAGUCAACUUUCGGUGCAGGAGAAUUGUACAUUGGGGGUGGUGGAGAGCUAUAAGUGUAGGGCUCAUAAGAAGCAGCAACCAUUGUUGCCAUGAUUACAAAACCAA
Long non-coding RNA from Brassica oleracea var. oleracea, 195 nucleotides. RefSeq lists it as uncharacterized. NCBI's taxonomy places the organism in Eukaryota, Viridiplantae, Streptophyta, Magnoliopsida, Brassicales, Brassicaceae. The transcript has 2 exons. The record is from RefSeq and is a predicted model, not a curated record.